RNAcentral lists this ribosomal RNA (772 nucleotides) under Bacillus sp. RA(2010). Its description in RNAcentral is "bacterial SSU rRNA". It matches the Rfam family "Bacterial small subunit ribosomal RNA", at positions 20 to 774 of the family's 1533-position model. Lineage: Bacteria; Bacillati; Bacillota; Bacilli; Caryophanales; Bacillaceae. The record is from RNAcentral.
UGGCUCAGGAUGAACGCUGGCGGCGUGCCUAAUACAUGCAAGUCGAGCGAACUGAUUAGAAGCUUGCUUCUAUGACGUUAGCGGCGGACGGGUGAGUAACACGUGGGCAACCUGCCUGUAAGACUGGGAUAACUUCGGGAAACCGAAGCUAAUACCGGAUAGGAUCUUCUCCUUCAUGGGAGAUGAUUGAAAGAUGGUUUCGGCUAUCACUUACAGAUGGGCCCGCGGUGCAUUAGCUAGUUGGUGAGGUAACGGCUCACCAAGGCAACGAUGCAUAGCCGACCUGAGAGGGUGAUCGGCCACACUGGGACUGAGACACGGCCCAGACUCCUACGGGAGGCAGCAGUAGGGAAUCUUCCGCAAUGGACGAAAGUCUGACGGAGCAACGCCGCGUGAGUGAUGAAGGCUUUCGGGUCGUAAAACUCUGUUGUUAGGGAAGAACAAGUACAAGAGUAACUGCUUGUACCUUGACGGUACCUAACCAGAAAGCCACGGCUAACUACGUGCCAGCAGCCGCGGUAAUACGUAGGUGGCAAGCGUUAUCCGGAAUUAUUGGGCGUAAAGCGCGCGCAGGCGGUUUCUUAAGUCUGAUGUGAAAGCCCACGGCUCAACCGUGGAGGGUCAUUGGAAACUGGGGAACUUGAGUGCAGAAGAGAAAAGCGGAAUUCCACGUGUAGCGGUGAAAUGCGUAGAGAUGUGGAGGAACACCAGUGGCGAAGCGGCUUUUUGGUCUGUAACUGACGCUGAGGCGCGAAAGCGUGGGGAGCAAACA